Molecule: ribosomal RNA, 990 nt
Filed under: Lactiplantibacillus plantarum
Lineage: Bacteria; Bacillati; Bacillota; Bacilli; Lactobacillales; Lactobacillaceae
Description: bacterial SSU rRNA
Rfam family: Bacterial small subunit ribosomal RNA
Source: RNAcentral
AUCUGAGAGUAACUGUUCAGGUAUUGACGGUAUUUAACCAGAAAGCCACGGCUAACUACGUGCCAGCAGCCGCGGUAAUACGUAGGUGGCAAGCGUUGUCCGGAUUUAUUGGGCGUAAAGCGAGCGCAGGCGGUUUUUUAAGUCUGAUGUGAAAGCCUUCGGCUCAACCGAAGAAGUGCAUCGGAAACUGGGAAACUUGAGUGCAGAAGAGGACAGUGGAACUCCAUGUGUAGCGGUGAAAUGCGUAGAUAUAUGGAAGAACACCAGUGGCGAAGGCGGCUGUCUGGUCUGUAACUGACGCUGAGGCUCGAAAGUAUGGGUAGCAAACAGGAUUAGAUACCCUGGUAGUCCAUACCGUAAACGAUGAAUGCUAAGUGUUGGAGGGUUUCCGCCCUUCAGUGCUGCAGCUAACGCAUUAAGCAUUCCGCCUGGGGAGUACGGCCGCAAGGCUGAAACUCAAAGGAAUUGACGGGGGCCCGCACAAGCGGUGGAGCAUGUGGUUUAAUUCGAAGCUACGCGAAGAACCUUACCAGGUCUUGACAUACUAUGCAAAUCUAAGAGAUUAGACGUUCCCUUCGGGGACAUGGAUACAGGUGGUGCAUGGUUGUCGUCAGCUCGUGUCGUGAGAUGUUGGGUUAAGUCCCGCAACGAGCGCAACCCUUAUUAUCAGUUGCCAGCAUUAAGUUGGGCACUCUGGUGAGACUGCCGGUGACAAACCGGAGGAAGGUGGGGAUGACGUCAAAUCAUCAUGCCCCUUAUGACCUGGGCUACACACGUGCUACAAUGGAUGGUACAACGAGUUGCGAACUCGCGAGAGUAAGCUAAUCUCUUAAAGCCAUUCUCAGUUCGGAUUGUAGGCUGCAACUCGCCUACAUGAAGUCGGAAUCGCUAGUAAUCGCGGAUCAGCAUGCCGCGGUGAAUACGUUCCCGGGCCUUGUACACACCGCCCGUCACACCAUGAGAGUUUGUAACACCCAAAGUCGGUGGGGU